This 435-nucleotide ribosomal RNA is filed under the name uncultured bacterium. Its description in RNAcentral is "partial 16S ribosomal RNA". It matches the Rfam family "Bacterial small subunit ribosomal RNA", at positions 29 to 506 of the family's 1533-position model. The record is from RNAcentral.
AACGAACGCUGGCGGCAUGCCUAACACAUGCAAGUCGAACGAGAUCCUUCGGGGUCUAGUGUCGCACGGGUGCGUAACGCGUGGGAAUCUGCCCUUAGGUUCGGAAUAACAGUUAGAAAUGACUGCUAAUACCGGAUGAUGACGUUAAGUCCAAAGAUUUAUCGCCUGAGGAUGAGCCCGCGUAGGAUUCGCUAGUUGGUGUGGUAAAGGCGCACCAAGGCGACGAUCCUUAGCUGGUCUGAGAGGAUGAUCAGCCACACUGGGACUGAGACACGGCCCAGACUCCUAAGGGAGGCAGCAGUGGGGAAUAUUGGACAAUGGGCGCAAGCCGGAUCCAGCAAUGCCGCGUGAGUGAUGAAGGCCUUAGGGUUGUAAAGCUCUUUUACCCGAGAUGAUAAUGACAGUAUCGGGAGAAUAAGCCCCGGCUAACUCCGU